AGUGAACGCUGGCGGUAGGCCUAACACAUGCAAGUCGAACGGCAGCACAGUAAGAGCUUGCUCUUACGGGUGGCGAGUGGCGGACGGGUGAGGAAUACAUCGGAACCUACUUUUUCGUGGGGGAUAACGUAGGGAAACUUACGCUAAUACCGCAUACGACCUACGGGUGAAAGCAGGGGAUCUUCGGACCUUGCGCGAUUGAAUGAGCCGAUGUCGGAUUAGCUAGUUGGCGGGGUAAAGGCCCACCAAGGCGACGAUCCGUAGCUGGUCUGAGAGGAUGAUCAGCCACACUGGAACUGAGACACGGUCCAGACUCCUACGGGAGGCAGCAGUGGGGAAUAUUGGACAAUGGGCGCAAGCCUGAUCCAGCCAUACCGCGUGAGUGAAGAAGGCCUUCGGGUUGUAAAGCCCUUUUGUUGGGAAAGAAAAGCAGCAGGUUAAUACCCCGCUGUUCUGACGGUACCCAAAGAAUAAGCACCGGCUAACUUCGUG
RNAcentral lists this ribosomal RNA (492 nucleotides) under uncultured bacterium. Its description in RNAcentral is "partial 16S ribosomal RNA". It matches the Rfam family "Bacterial small subunit ribosomal RNA", at positions 29 to 507 of the family's 1533-position model. The record is from RNAcentral.